Bos taurus (domestic cattle) is the source of this 1177-nucleotide long non-coding RNA. NCBI's taxonomy places the organism in Eukaryota, Metazoa, Chordata, Mammalia, Artiodactyla, Bovidae. The record is from Ensembl.
AAUGGGAGCAGGGGUGACAGAGGGGGCCAAAUUCAGGAGGCGGAACCCCCAAAGACUCAGUUCCCAAUGAGAAUGAAAAGGUGAGGGUGGAGAACGGCUCUGAAUGAGACACCCGAACCAGGACAGCCCCGGGGGCACCUGGGCUUGUAUCAACAGAAACGCCAGGGAUCCUGAAAUGCCCCAGGGCACCCCACUUGGACGUAGCUCCUGGAGGCUGAUGGCCUGAGACUGGGGAGACCAGGGAAGCACCUCCCCUGGCUGGCUGGAGAGGCCACCGAGCUGGAAAAUGGACCUGGAGGGAGAACGCACCCUGCCAGUGUCCUGGAGGAAGGCUGACUCCGGCAGAGACGAGUCAGAAAAAAGUAAUGGGAGCCGAUAAGAAAACAGAAGUUAACCCAGACGAUUGCAAAGGGGGACACCACGGCUGGAGGCCUGGCCCAGUGACCUCACAGUCUGUUUACAGCCUGACGGUUUUCCAAGGCCUGCUUCGGACACCACGUACUUCCUCCCCGUGAGUGUACUGGAAGUAUCCAGAGGAAACAUCUGCUCUAGAACAUGACAUCACUCAUGUCACUGUCAAUAUUUGAUAUAAAUAUAUUUAACAGGCAUUUGCUCUCGCUUAGCAACCUGGUCACGGGCUCGCUGACUUCUCCCCUCAGUGAAUCAACUUCCCCCACGCUCAGGCUGCGGGCUCAUUCCCAGCUGGGGACUCCACCCUUUCCAAAACCAGGCAGCAUAACAGAGAACCUGGAUUUGAAGAACUGGUGGGUGGAAAAGCUGUGAUCAGAAGUGGAGGGUGGAAGCCCCCAGCUGCGUGGAGGAUUAGGCCCCCUCCUGGGGAAGAAAACGUGAUCAGAGCUGGAGCAAGAACCAGCUGGGGUGGGCGGUAGCACUUUUUAUUUCUGAGGCAAAUAAAAUCAAUCCCCUUUUAUCCACUACGAAGCAAAGGUCCAAGGAACACACUAAUAAAUGGCAGAGCUGGGCCUCAAGCCCAGGUCUGACUCAGAGGCUCAAAGCCACACCCAUCAUCCACACCAGGCCUGAAUGUCAGGGAAUACACAAAGUACGCUGAUCAAUAAGCUGGGGCCAUUUCAGGCUUAACGUGAACGCAGCAGACAAGUUCCUACUAAUUGCAAUUUGUUUGAAUUUUGUACUACAUUUCACUCAUUCUGUAUUG